RNAcentral lists this ribosomal RNA (108 nucleotides) under Propithecus coquereli (Coquerel's sifaka). Lineage: Eukaryota; Metazoa; Chordata; Mammalia; Primates; Indriidae. The record is from RNAcentral.
UUUUAUGACCAUACCACCCUGAAUGUGCCCGAUCUCGUCUGAUCUCAGAAGCUAAGCAGGGUCGGGCCUGGUUAGUACUUGAAUGAGAGAGUCCUGGGAUUGAAUACU